UGAGCAGGAGCAGAGGUGUCAUCAGUGGGAAGCUCUUCCCUGCAGAGCUGGAAUGGAGCCACGGUGUUAGCACUACUCACCCCCCUUCCAGAGCUGUUCUGCCUCAGUUCCAGCUAUGAACUGCAGGAAACCUCCCUUUUAAGAGGCAGGGCAAAUGGAUAAGUAGCUGUCUCCUCUGAGUAAUAUCAGUAGUGUUUGGGGGUUGUGAUUUUUUUCGUUAUGAAAUAGGAAAGGCCUGCUGGGGUCCCAGGAGUGGGGGAAAUGUUGCUUUAGGCAAAUCAUGGUUCUUUAACCUGUUUUAGGAGCAAAAGGUUGGCACAUUUACACACGUGAAUUCAUUCUUGUUUCUCUCUCAUACUGAGUGCCAGCACUGUCCUAUUAUCCUACAUCCUUACAGGCACCAUGGCCUUGCUUCCCAUUUCCCACUGAACAUUUCUCUGUGACUGACUGCAGGGAAGUCUGGCUGCAAAUGUUUAUCCAGAAGCAAUUCCUCCCUCUGUGGAGAGCUUUAAUUCCUUCCUGGAAACAGAUGGUGUUGUUUUGACCUUUGCCUUUCUGCCACAGUAGAUCCUUGUGCUGCAUUGAGUGAAAGGGUAUUUUAUGUCUUUUGAGCGUUUUUUUUUUUUUUCUCCUAAUCAUGGCCACACAAAACUCUUAGAGAAGUAUCAGCAUGUCAAAACCCAGUGUGGUGCUGUUUUUAAGAAAGCUGAGUUCCAAAUUUAAUUUGAAUUACUUAUAUUAUGCUUUUAAUCUGCAAUAUAAUGACUAUCUGAGAGCAAUUAAGAGUAAUAAGCUUGUCCUCAGACCUUCUUUCUCCGAAGAUUGUUGUAGGCAAUAUAGAAACUAAAUACAGCGUUCCUCAAGUGGGCUUUGAAAAGCCACAGAUCAUCUUCUGAUGAUAAAUCUGCAUUUCAGUUGUUCAUUAGUCUUAUAUUAUAUAAGUGACAGCAUAAAUUUAAUGCUGAUAAUCAAUUCCAUGUGCUGAAUAUUAAUAGGAAACUUUAGAGAUGGUGAUAUUACAGAAUUAAAAGGACUUCUACUCUGUUCUUUAUUAGUUAGUCAGUGUAAUUAGAGACUUCCCCUAGACUGCUGUCUGUGUACUAGGCUAAACCUAACAUAAAUUUGAGCAUUUACCCCUUCCUUCUUAAAAAAUGUAAUAAAAAUAAUCCAGCCUUAUCCUUAAGAAUAAUGCCAAGGCCUAAAUAAACCGAAACAAUUCUAAUUUUCUGACACAAAAUGUGAAAAUAGAGAACUUGAUAGACAUAAGUGCAUUUGUCAUGCCCAGGAAUGGCUCCAAGAAAAUGAAUUAAAACAACAACAAAUUCCCAAUAAGAUCAGAAGCACAAAGCCUGUGGCAAAAUUGCAGAAAAAAAAAAAAAGAUAGCAGAAAAAAAACCAAAAACAUUUAACUCCCCCCUGCUGAGCAAAAGUUAGGAAGUGAGUAAUUUUAAUAACAAUGUUGGUUCAAGGAAUUAGUAAUAGAAGCUGCAGGGCAAGUCCUGAGUGGAUAUGGGAAGUCCAGGAGUAGAAGAGAAGUUGUUUCACUGCCUGAGCAGAUGUGGGAGGUAACAGAGUCUCCCUGGGGAUGGUCUCUGUAGGUCUCUGGGACAGCAGGGAAGGGCAGGACCUCUCUCCCAACCCCCCUGUUUCCCUUUGCUGAUCUAAAGCACGGAAAGCUCCCAAAGUUUCCCAGCCUUUCUCAUGCAAUGAUCCCUGUGCCCAGAGCCAAUCCAAAGAAAAACAUAUUUGGUAUUAUAGAUACAGAUUUCUUUUCAUGCCAGUUCUAAUUGCAUUCUCUUUUCACCUCUCCCCAGCAAGAAUGGCCAUGUGCAUCUUUGUGCAGGUUCACAGAAUUCUACUAACUGUUUUUUUUUCUUUUUCUGACUUCUAGGCGAGGAUAUGCACAGCAAGAGCAACAGCAGUUGCUGAGACCUUCUCUUCUCAGACCAGAGGAGCUAAGUAUGGAGUCUGGAAUUGAUCCAGGGCAGGAAUACUAUGGGCAAGAUUACUACAGUUAUGAGCAUGGGUACGAGCUGCCGCAGUACGGGAGCCGCCGCCGGCUGCUGUCCCCGGCGGGGAUGUACGACGAGUACGGGGAGGUGGUGGUGGAGAGCGACGGUGGCUACUACUACAGUCCCCAUGGACCCACAGCUGAAGAGGUGAGAGGCUCU
This is a long non-coding RNA of Corapipo altera (White-ruffed manakin), 2171 nucleotides long. RefSeq lists it as uncharacterized. The transcript is spliced from 5 exons. Lineage: Eukaryota; Metazoa; Chordata; Aves; Passeriformes; Pipridae. The record is from RefSeq and is a predicted model, not a curated record.